GAUGAAGAACGUAGCGAAAUGCGAUAAGUAAUGUGAAUUGCAGAAUUCAGUGAAUCAUCGAAUCUUUGAACGCACAUUGCACCCCCUGGUAUUCCGGGGGGCAUGCCUGUCCGAGCGUCAUUACAACCCUCAAGCUCAGCUUGGUGUUGGGCCCCGCCGCCCCGGCGGGCCCUAAAGUCAGUGGCGGUGCCGUCCGGCUCCGAGCGUAGUAAUUCUUCUCGCUCUGGAGGUCCGGUCGUGUGCUCGCCAGCAACCCCCAAUUUUUUUCAGGUUGACCUCGGAUCAGGUAGGGAUACCCGCUGAACUUAAGCAUAUCAAUAAGCGGAGGA
RNAcentral lists this unclassified non-coding RNA (329 nucleotides) under soil metagenome. Its description in RNAcentral is "partial contains 5.8S ribosomal RNA, internal transcribed spacer 2, and large subunit ribosomal RNA". The stretch from base 1 to 120 matches the Rfam family "5.8S ribosomal RNA", at positions 35 to 154 of the family's 154-position model. The record is from RNAcentral.